Long non-coding RNA from Uranotaenia lowii, 352 nucleotides. RefSeq lists it as uncharacterized. Lineage: Eukaryota; Metazoa; Arthropoda; Insecta; Diptera; Culicidae. The transcript has 3 exons. The record is from RefSeq and is a predicted model, not a curated record.
CUCAAUAAUCAAUUAUGCUUGAAUAGACCUCUAAUUUCGUAUGAACAAGCAGGUGAAUUAUCUGACUUAGAGGGAAAAAAAGCCAGUACAUAAUUAUUCCUCAUCAAAUCUCAUGGGUCGACCGACACGAAGCGGAAAGACACAUAUAGAGAGGAUUUACUUUGACCCCCGAGGGCCAAUCCGGAAGGUCGAAUAAAUAACAGCGACAAACAAGAUCAUAUCAUGGCGCCGGUUGUUCUACUUCCGCCGAAAAAAAAUUAACAGCAUUUUGUUUCAAGGCCAUGGCGGCGGUUCCCCCAGCAGAAGAGAAAAAAAACAAAUAAUGCAGAUGUUAAUUUAAAAAAUCACGCCA